UUAAGUUAUUAAGGGCGCACGGUGGAUGCCUUGGCACUAGAAGCCGAUGAAGGACGUUACUAACGACGAUAUGCUUUGGGGAGCUGUAAGUAAGCUUUGAUCCAGAGAUUUCCGAAUGGGGAAACCCAGCAUGAGUUAUGUCAUGUUAUCGAUAUGUGAAUACAUAGCAUAUCAGAAGGCACACCCGGAGAACUGAAACAUCUUAGUACCCGGAGGAAGAGAAAGAAAAUUCGAUUCCCUUAGUAGCGGCGAGCGAAACGGGAAGAGCCCAAACCAACAAGCUUGCUUGUUGGGGUUGUAGGACACUCUAUACGGAGUUACAAAGGACGACAUUAGACGAAUCAUCUGGAAAGAUGAAUCAAAGAAGGUAAUAAUCCUGUAGUCGAAAAUGUUGUCUCUCUUGAGUGGAUCCUGAGUACGACGGAGCACGUGAAAUUCCGUCGGAAUCUGGGAGGACCAUCUCCUAAGGCUAAAUACUCUCUAGUGACCGAUAGUGAACCAGUACCGUGAGGGAAAGGUGAAAAGCACCCCGGAAGGGGAGUGAAAUAGAACCUGAAACCGUGUGCUUACAAGUAGUCAGAGCCCGUUAAUGGGUGAUGGCGUGCCUUUUGUAGAAUGAACCGGCGAGUUACGAUUUGAUGCAAGGUUAAGCAGUAAAUGUGGAGCCGUAGCGAAAGCGAGUCUGAAUAGGGCGUUUAGUAUUUGGUCGUAGACCCGAAACCAGGUGAUCUACCCUUGGUCAGGUUGAAGUUCAGGUAACACUGAAUGGAGGACCGAACCGACUUACGUUGAAAAGUGAGCGGAUGAACUGAGGGUAGCGGAGAAAUUCCAAUCGAACCUGGAGAUAGCUGGUUCUCUCCGAAAUAGCUUUAGGGCUAGCCUCAAGUGAUGAUUAUUGGAGGUAGAGCACUGUUUGGACGAGGGGCCCCUCUCGGGUUACCGAAUUCAGACAAACUCCGAAUGCCAAUUAAUUUAACUUGGGAGUCAGAACAUGGGUGAUAAGGUCCGUGUUCGAAAGGGAAACAGCCCAGACCACCAGCUAAGGUCCCAAAAUAUAUGUUAAGUGGAAAAGGAUGUGGCGUUGCCCAGACAACUAGGAUGUUGGCUUAGAAGCAGCCAUCAUUUAAAGAGUGCGUAAUAGCUCACUAGUCGAGUGACACUGCGCCGAAAAUGUACCGGGGCUAAACAUAUUACCGAAGCUGUGGAUUGUCCUUUGGACAAUGGUAGGAGAGCGUUCUAAGGGCGUUGAAGCAUGAUCGUAAGGACAUGUGGAGCGCUUAGAAGUGAGAAUGCCGGUGUGAGUAGCGAAAGACGGGUGAGAAUCCCGUCCACCGAUUGACUAAGGUUUCCAGAGGAAGGCUCGUCCGCUCUGGGUUAGUCGGGUCCUAAGCUGAGGCCGACAGGCGUAGGCGAUGGAUAACAGGUUGAUAUUCCUGUACCACCUAUAAUCGUUUUAAUCGAUGGGGGGACGCAGUAGGAUAGGCGAAGCGUGCGAUUGGAUUGCACGUCUAAGCAGUAAGGCUGAGUAUUAGGCAAAUCCGGUACUCGUUAAGGCUGAGCUGUGAUGGGGAGAAGACGUUGUGUCUUCGAGUCGUUGAUUUCACACUGCCGAGAAAAGCCUCUAGAUAGAAAAUAGGUGCCCGUACCGCAAACCGACACAGGUAGUCAAGAUGAGAAUUCUAAGGUGAGCGAGCGAACUCUCGUUAAGGAACUCGGCAAAAUGACCCCGUAACUUCGGGAGAAGGGGUGCUCUUUAGGGUUAACGCCCAGAAGAGCCGCAGUGAAUAGGCCCAAGCGACUGUUUAUCAAAAACACAGGUCUCUGCUAAACCGUAAGGUGAUGUAUAGGGGCUGACGCCUGCCCGGUGCUGGAAGGUUAAGAGGAGUGGUUAGCUUCUGCGAAGCUACGAAUCGAAGCCCCAGUAAACGGCGGCCGUAACUAUAACGGUCCUAAGGUAGCGAAAUUCCUUGUCGGGUAAGUUCCGACCCGCACGAAAGGCGUAACGAUUUGGGCACUGUCUCAACGAGAGACUCGGUGAAAUCAUAGUACCUGUGAAGAUGCAGGUUACCCGCGACAGGACGGAAAGACCCCGUGGAGCUUUACUGUAGCCUGAUAUUGAAAUUCGGCACAGCUUGUACAGGAUAGGUAGGAGCCUUUGAAACGUGAGCGCUAGCUUACGUGGAGGCGCUGGUGGGAUACUACCCUAGCUGUGUUGGCUUUCUAACCUGUACCACUUAUCGUGGUGGGAGACAGUGUCAGGCGGGCAGUUUGACUGGGGCGGUCGCCUCCUAAAAGGUAACGGAGGCGCUCAAAGGUUCCCUCAGAAUGGUUGGAAAUCAUUCAUAGAGUGUAAAGGCAUAAGGGAGCUUGACUGCGAGACCUACAAGUCGAGCAGGGUCGAAAGACGGACUUAGUGAUCCGGUGGUUCCGCAUGGAAGGGCCAUCGCUCAACGGAUAAAAGCUACCCCGGGGAUAACAGGCUUAUCUCCCCCAAGAGUUCACAUCGACGGGGAGGUUUGGCACCUCGAUGUCGGCUCAUCGCAUCCUGGGGCUGUAGUCGGUCCCAAGGGUUGGGCUGUUCGCCCAUUAAAGCGGUACGCGAGCUGGGUUCAGAACGUCGUGAGACAGUUCGGUCCCUAUCCGUCGUGGGCGUAGGAAAUUUGAGAGGAGCUGUCCUUAGUACGAGAGGACCGGGAUGGACAUACCUCUGGUGUACCAGUUGUCGUGCCAACGGCAUAGCUGGGUAGCUAUGUGUGGACGGGAUAAGUGCUGAAAGCAUCUAAGCAUGAAGCCCCCCUCAAGAUGAGAUUUCCCAACUUCGGUUAUAAGAUCCCUCAAAGAUGAUGAGGUUAAUAGGUUCGAGGUGGAAGCAUGGUGACAUGUGGAGCUGACGAAUACUAAUCGAUCGAAGACUUAAUCAA
RNAcentral lists this ribosomal RNA (2921 nucleotides) under Staphylococcus aureus. RNAcentral's name for it is "bacterial LSU rRNA". It matches the Rfam family "Bacterial large subunit ribosomal RNA". The record is from RNAcentral. Lineage: Bacteria; Bacillati; Bacillota; Bacilli; Caryophanales; Staphylococcaceae.